GGAGUAAUAGCUCAAAGGGAGAGCGACAAAUUCAAGUUCCGUAGGAUACCAGUUCGAUUCUGGUUUACUUCA
This is a non-coding RNA of Lentithecium fluviatile CBS 122367, 72 nucleotides long. The record is from the annotation of a GenBank genome assembly. Lineage: Eukaryota; Fungi; Ascomycota; Dothideomycetes; Pleosporales; Lentitheciaceae.